GAUGAAGAACGCAGCGAAAUGCGAUACGUAAUGUGAAUUGCAGAAUUCAGUGAAUCAUCGAGUCUUUGAACGCACAUUGCGCCCCCUGGUAUUCCGGGGGGCAUGCCUCUUCCAGCGUCAUUUCACCCCUCAAGCUCUGCUUGGUUUUGGGCCGCGCCGGCAACGGCGGGCCUCGAAAAUAGUGGCGACGCCAUCGUGCUCUCAGCGUAGUAAUUCUUCUCGCUGUUGGGUCCCGGUGGUCGUCCGCCAGCAACCCCCAACUUUCUUAAGUUUGACCUGGGAUGAGGUAGGGAUACCCGCUGAACUUAAGCAUAUCAAUAAGCGGAGGA
This 329-nucleotide unclassified non-coding RNA is filed under the name soil metagenome. Its description in RNAcentral is "partial contains 5.8S ribosomal RNA, internal transcribed spacer 2, and large subunit ribosomal RNA". The stretch from base 1 to 120 matches the Rfam family "5.8S ribosomal RNA", at positions 35 to 154 of the family's 154-position model. The record is from RNAcentral.